This 497-nucleotide ribosomal RNA is filed under the name uncultured bacterium. RNAcentral's name for it is "partial 16S ribosomal RNA". It matches the Rfam family "Bacterial small subunit ribosomal RNA", at positions 28 to 507 of the family's 1533-position model. The record is from RNAcentral.
GACGAACGCUGGCGGCGUGCCUAAUACAUGCAAGUUGAGCGCUGAAGGUUGGUACUUGUUCCAACUGGAUGAGCAGCGAACGGGUGAGUAACGCGUGGGGAAUCUGCCUUUGAGCGGGGGACAACAUUUGGAAACGAAUGCUAAUACCGCAUAAAAACUUUAAACACAAGUUUUAAGUUUGAAAGAUGCAAUUGCAUCACUCAAAGAUGAUCCCGCGUUGUAUUAGCUAGUUGGUGAGGUAAAGGCUCACCAAGGCGAUGAUACAUAGCCGACCUGAGAGGGUGAUCGGCCACAGUGGGACUGAGACACGGCCCAAACUCCUACGGGAGGCAGCAGUAGGGAAUCUUCGGCAAUGGACGAAAGUCUGACCGAGCAACGCCGCGUGAGUGAAGAAGGUUUUCGGAUCGUAAAACUCUGUUGGUAGAGAAGAACGUUGGUGAGAGUGGAAAGCUCAUCAAGUGACGGUAACUACCCAGAAAGGGACGGCUAACUACGUG